RNAcentral lists this long non-coding RNA (1230 nucleotides) under Trifolium pratense (red clover). RNAcentral's name for it is "long non-coding RNA (TPRA_LNC002660)". Lineage: Eukaryota; Viridiplantae; Streptophyta; Magnoliopsida; Fabales; Fabaceae. The record is from RNAcentral.
AACACCAUCUUUUUUUGAAGCUUCUUUGCAGAACUCUGUUAAAACCAUACAAUAUGAACCAAAACAAGCUUCGGCAAUCAUAUUCAAAUCAACAUUAUCAUUACAAUUGCUGCUGUUCAAAAACUGAAUUUUUGCAUCCUUGGUCCAUCGCGUCAAAACCAAAUUGCUUGGAAUACGAUCAACGUGUUCUUCCUUCAUUACGUAAAAAAUAUGAGAACACGGAAUGCCACGGGACUCAAACCUCUUACAUGAACACUUAAAUGUCGAACCAUCAUAAACAACACUUCUUUCAUAACCAUCCUUACUAAAUUUUGUCAAUCUAUAAGUCUUCCUACCCCCGACUUCACUUUUAUCCCUAACUAUCAAUUCACCGGCUUUCAAUAUUUCAUGUCUAACUUCUUUGAAAAGCUUCGCCGUAUAUAUUUUACCGGCAUGACUCUCAAUCACAGGCAGUUGCGUCGACAACACAGGAUCUAUAGACGAUGGUUUAAAAUCAGCAACCAACUCGUAGCGUGAUCAAAGUUGUUCAUAAAUUCAAAAAUGCAUCCUUGCUUCCUGACAUAACUCUUAAUUAUUGCAUUAACAGCUUCGUACUGCGACGUAGUUCUUAUACGUCCAAAAAAGUUAUCUCGUAGAUAUGCAAUAGCCCACAGUGACCUAUUCUCGUACGUUUUGACUAUCCAUGGAUGUCCUUGCACUCCAUUUUCUUUAAUCAUUUGUGACCAAUACUCUUCAAAUUCAUCUAUUUUAAAAUUUGAGUACAUGGCCUUUGAAAAACCGUCCAAAAAAUUAUUUCCGUUCUUCACAUUCUCACCUGCAUUCUUAUUCAAAUGCCAAGUACAUAACCUAUGGUUAGCAUCGGGAAAUAUCUGUUUUAUGGCCUCUCUCAUUGCCCCAUCCCCAUUUGUUACCACCGCUUUUGGUUGUUUACCUUCCAUGCAUUCUAGGAAACACGUCAACACCCACUUAUACGUCUCCGUCAUUUCAUCUGACACCAAUGCAGCACCAAAAAUUACUGUUUGAGAGUGGUGGUUACACCCUGAAAAUACAACCAACAGAUAGUUGUAAGUCGUGUCAAAUGCAAGCACAUCACCAAAACAAAAAUAGUCAGUCCUACUAAUCCAAUCAGCCCAAAAAAGUCUUCAUUCUUCCAUUAAUGUUGUCUACAGCAUACUCAGCAUAAAGCAUGAGAUCACUAGACGACUUCAUAUUCAGAUAGUUUAAAAAUGU